This is a non-coding RNA of Salmo salar (Atlantic salmon), 71 nucleotides long. The record is from Rfam. Lineage: Eukaryota; Metazoa; Chordata; Actinopteri; Salmoniformes; Salmonidae.
AAUUCUACUUCAACUUGAGCACCUUUCUUUUAUCACUCUACAGAAAGUGCUAUUAAGUUGGAGUAUGAUUC